Chroicocephalus ridibundus (black-headed gull) is the source of this 358-nucleotide long non-coding RNA. RefSeq lists it as uncharacterized. The transcript has 3 exons. The record is from RefSeq and is a predicted model, not a curated record. Lineage: Eukaryota; Metazoa; Chordata; Aves; Charadriiformes; Laridae.
GGUCCGGGCGGCCUGUCAGGCUGUAUUUGAAAGCAACAAGGCACUACCUUCGGUCCACCCUGUGGGUGCCAGUACCUGAAGACCCAGUCAGCACAACACCUGGAAAAGAUCCCUUCCUGUUGUUCUCCUGCACAAGAAGAAGAGCUUAGUCCACAAUAAUCCUGUGUGGGUACGGUUGGAGGGGAAGGGCAGAAGAGGGACUCCUGAAGCCACUGAAGGAAGGAAAUCAUUACAGGGUUCUACAGAAGUAGGUCAUGUGCUACAGCUGCUCAUAGUUUAAGAGGAAGAAACAUGGGACCUCAAACAUGGAACAUGACUCCUUCAAAAUGCUUGAGAGCAACCCAAGAAAAACAUCCUU